RNAcentral lists this ribosomal RNA (468 nucleotides) under uncultured bacterium. RNAcentral's name for it is "partial 16S ribosomal RNA". It matches the Rfam family "Bacterial small subunit ribosomal RNA", at positions 28 to 507 of the family's 1533-position model. The record is from RNAcentral.
GACGAACGCUGGCGGCGUGCUUAACACAUGCAAGUCGAACGGAAAGGCCCUGCUUUUGUGGGGUGCUCGAGUGGCGAACGGGUGAGUAACACGUGAGUAACCUGCCCUUGACUUUGGGAUAACUUCAGGAAACUGGGGCUAAUACCGGAUAGGAGCUCCUGCUGCAGGGUGGGGGUUGGAAAGUUUCGGCGGUUGGGGAUGGACUCGCGGCUUAUCAGCUUGUUGGUGGGGUAGUGGCUGACCAAGGCUUUGACGGGUAGCCGACCUGAGAGGGUGACCGGCCACAUGGCGACUGAGAUACGGCCCAGACUCCUACGGGAGGCAACAGUGGGGAAUAUUGCACAAUGGGCGGAAGCCUGAUGCAGAAACGCCGCGUGCGGGAUGACGGCCUUCGGGUUGUAAACCGCUUUCGCCUGUGACGAAGCGUGAGUGACGGUAAUGGGUAAAGAAGCACCGGCUAACUACGUG